This 1909-nucleotide long non-coding RNA is filed under the name Heterocephalus glaber (naked mole-rat). RNAcentral's name for it is "lncRNA (ENSHGLG00100051918.1)". The record is from RNAcentral. Lineage: Eukaryota; Metazoa; Chordata; Mammalia; Rodentia; Bathyergidae.
CCCGCCCCUUACAUGGGUCUCUUUUGAGCAGCAGACGCGCCGGCUUCGAGCAUCCGUGGCGGGGCAGGCGAGAGGACCCGGGGCUGCGGCUCCACCGGCCGUGGCACAGCCCGCCUGUGACAUGGCCAGCUUCGAAGAGUACUGGGGAUCAAACUCCGGACCUUGAAUUUUCAAGGCAGGCAUGGUGUCACUGAGCUAAAUCCCUGGCCUUUUUUUUUUUUGAGACGAGGUCUCGCGAUGUAGUCCAGGCUGGCCCCAAACUCAAAGCAAUCCUCCUGUUUCAGCUUCCUGAGUACUGGGAUUACAUGCAUGUGCCACCAGGCCCACCUCGAUAUUUCUUAUUCUGUGGAGUUUUACACAUUUGUGAAAGGACAGAAAAAGGGAUCUCUUUCUACUCAGCCAUUACCAAGUUGCAACGGUCGUCAACCUAUGACCCAGUUUAUUCAUCUGCGCCCCUCCCAUCUGCAUGGAUUAUUUAGAGCACAUCCUGGACAUUUCACUCUCACAUUUGGAAUUCUGUUUGUUUGUCUUUCCUUCCUCCCUUUCUUUCAUUGUGCUAGGUAUUGAACCCAGGGCUUCACGCAUGGUAGGCAAGUGCUGUAGCAUUGAGCUGCACUCCUAGACUCUUAAAGAAACUGUCUUGAGAUGGUCUUUCUAAAUUGUUCAAGCUCGUAUGGACCUUGUGAUCCUCCUGCCUCAGCCUCCUCAGCAGCUGGGACAACAGGCACGUGCCACCAUGCCACACAGAUCCUGUGAUUUCUUUGGGUGUCUGAGUGGCAAGCAGUUCAAGGUCCUUUUGGGGAGGGGAUGUCUUUUGGGAAGGUACUGAGAUUUCAUUUACUAAUUUUACUUAACUUUUGAAGAACUUGUAGAAUAUUAUACCAUAUUUCCCCCCACAUAAAACCAGGUCCUAUAUUAAUUUUUGUUCCAAAAGAUACAGUAGGGCUUAUUUUCAGAGCUCUCAUUUUUUUCACGUUCAGCGGUUUCCAUCUUUUCACCUACAGCCUUGUUCUUUUCUGGAGCAUCUUCCCAACUCUCCAAACCCUGAACUCUGGCCUGAAUUUUUUGCGACUCAUUUCCUGUAGAACCAUCGGCCCCAGUCCCUCCUGUCCAGCAGUAGAGCUCUCCUUAAAUGAGCCCUUCUUGUCCAUGUAGCCUGCUCCUAGUGCAUCGGCAACACAGCUGUCAGUGAUUUUAUGGCAUGAAUUCUUCACCCAAGUCAUGACCUCCUGCCUGCUGGGCUUUACAAAGUUUCCAUUAAAUCAAGUGUUAACUGAAGACUCAGAUGACAGGAGUGGCAACAAAAAUGAUGACAGUUACGAUUGACUGCCCACGCCUAUAAUCCUAGCACUUGGGAGGCUGAGGCAGGAGGAUCACAAGCUCAAGGCCAGCCUGAACUGCAUAGUGAGAGCUUGUCUCAAAAAAAGAAAGAGGGCCGGGGAUUUAGCUCAGUGGUUCCGCUGCCUGACUCACAAGUGCAAGGUCCUGAGUUCGAUCUCUAGCACUGGAAAAAACAAAACAGGAUGUGUUCAAAAAAAGAAAGAAUUAUAGUCCACACAUAAGCGUUGAAAAAUUACAGGCAACAAAAUUCAGAGAACGUUUCUUUAUUUCAUGCAAGUGCAGAAAGUACGUAGGUUGCAACAAACGAUGUAUUGAUUGAUGAAGAUUUGUAUUAGACACAGCCAGGUCUGUUACCAAGUGCACACAUUAUUCAUGUGUUGUGUGUGCUCCAAUUGGUCAUUUGGCAAUAAGUCGGGAGCUCUUUUUUUUUUUUUUUUUUUUUUUUGUGGAACCGGAGAUUGAACUCAGGACCUUGGGCAUGCCAGGCAGGCGCUGGCACCACUGAGCUAAACCUCUGGCCCUUGGAGUUCAUUUGUUUACAUAGCUGUCUACUUCACAUUCAAAGGCA